AUGGCGCGUGGGAAGGUGGCCGAGUGGAUACGGAAGCGUACGAUGCCGAGAAAGCCGGCGGCUAAGCGCCAGAGCACGCCAACGCCUAGGAAUGCAGCCGUGAGUGGGAGCGGGAAUGAUGCAGUUGGUGCUGGUGGUGGCGGCGCUCCACCGGCGCAUUCCAAGUCCCGGGCAAGCGCCUUCCUGUCGGCGCUUAUGAGGUGGCGGCCUCGCGUGAACGUGAUGGCCGUGCUGUGCGAGCAUGUGGUGUACCACAUGAUGUGGCUGGUGGAGUCCGUGGUGUUGGUGGGCAGGCUCUGCUUCUUCCUCAUGCGCUUUGGCUUCAAGCAGCUCUAA
RNAcentral lists this ribosomal RNA (336 nucleotides) under Triticum aestivum (bread wheat). Its description in RNAcentral is "partial small subunit ribosomal RNA". Lineage: Eukaryota; Viridiplantae; Streptophyta; Magnoliopsida; Poales; Poaceae. The record is from RNAcentral.